RNAcentral lists this ribosomal RNA (352 nucleotides) under uncultured bacterium. RNAcentral's name for it is "partial 16S ribosomal RNA". It matches the Rfam family "Bacterial small subunit ribosomal RNA", at positions 338 to 682 of the family's 1533-position model. The record is from RNAcentral.
CCUACGGGUGACAGCAGUGGGGAAUAUUGCGCAAUGGGCGAAAGCCUGACGCAGCGACGCCGCGUGAGGGAUGAAGGUCUUCGGAUCGUAAACCUCUGUCAGCAGGGAAGAACGGUCACGGUGCUAAUCAGCAGUGAAUUGACGGUACCUGCAAAGGAAGCACCGGCUAACUCCGUGCCAGCAGCCGCGGUAAUACGGAGGGUGCGAGCGUUCAUCGGAAUUACUGGGCGUAAAGCGCUCGUAGGCGGUAUGUCAAGUCAAGGGUGAACUCCCCGCGCUCAACGUGGGAACUGCCUUUGAAACUGGCAAACUGGAGUGUGUUAGAGGAUAGUGGACUUCCAGGUGUAGGCGU